Molecule: ribosomal RNA, 549 nt
Filed under: uncultured bacterium
Lineage: Bacteria
Description: bacterial SSU rRNA
Rfam family: Bacterial small subunit ribosomal RNA
Source: RNAcentral
UGGGGAAUAUUGGACAAUGGGGGGAACCCUGAUCCAGCCAUGCCGCGUGUGUGAAGAAGGCCUUAUGGUUGUAAAGCACUUUAAGCAGUGAAGAAUACAUCAUGGCUAAUAUCCGUGAUGAAUGACAUUAGCUGCAGAAUAAGCACCGGCUAACUCUGUGCCAGCAGCCGCGGUAAUACAGAGGGUGCGAGCGUUAAUCGGAAUUACUGGGCGUAAAACGAGCGUAGGUGGUUUAUUAAGUCAGAUGUGAAAUCCCUGGGCUUAACCUAGGAACUGCAUCUGAUACUGACAAACUAGAGUAGGUGAGAGGAAAGUAGAAUUCCAGGUGUAGCGGUGAAAUGCGUAGAGAUCUGGAGGAAUACCGAUGGCGAAGGCAGCUUUCUGGCAUCAUACUGACACUGAGGUUCGAAAGCGUGGGUAGCAAACAGGAUUAGAUACCCUGGUAGUCCACGCCGUAAACGAUGUCUACCAGUCGUUGGGUCUUUUAAAGACUUAGUGACGCAGUUAACGCGAUAAGUAGACCGCCUGGGGAGUACGGCCGCAAGGUUA